RNAcentral lists this ribosomal RNA (468 nucleotides) under uncultured bacterium. Its description in RNAcentral is "partial 16S ribosomal RNA". It matches the Rfam family "Bacterial small subunit ribosomal RNA", at positions 28 to 507 of the family's 1533-position model. The record is from RNAcentral.
GACGAACGCUGGCGGCGUGCUUAACACAUGCAAGUCGAACGGAAAGGCCCUGCUUUUGUGGGGUGCUCGAGUGGCGAACGGGUGAGUAACACGUGAGUAACCUGCCCUUGACUUUGGGAUAACUUCAGGAAACUGGGGCUAAUACCGGAUAGGAGCUCCUGCUGCAUGGUGGGGGUUGGAAAGUUUCGGCGGUUGGGGAUGGACUCGCGGCUUAUCAGCUUGUUGGUGGGGUAGUGGCUUACCAAGGCUUUGACGGGUAGCCGGCCUGAGAGGGUGACCGGCCACAUUGGGACUGAGAUACGGCCCAGACUCCUACGGGAGGCAGCAGUGGGGAAUAUUGCACAAUGGGCGGAAGCCUGAUGCAGCAACGCCGCGUGCGGGAUGACGGCCUUCGGGUGGUAAACCGCCUUCGCCUGUGACGAAGCGUGAGUGACGGUAAUGGGUAAAGAAGCACCGGCUAACUACGUG